UUAUUUAUUAUCACACAUCAUGACCCUGGAGAAGAGGCCCAGCCCCUGGGGAACUCAUUGGGCUGUCCAUAAGACACCUCAUUGUAGAGCCUGGCGGGACCAGGACUGGGGAGGGACACUAGGGGAAACGGAGUGGAGAGGUAGCUACCAGGCACAACUCCUGCCAGGGGUGGGCUGGAGAAGCCACAGGGUGGGGGGGGCAGCUGGUGGCUCACCUGGCAGCUACCCCCCUGGCUGCCAGGGGCUGGUCGGAGUUGGCACACCUGAGCAGCUUCUUCUGGUCCACCUUGUCCAGGAUGUUCUUCCGGAGCACGCGGGCCAGGCUGAGCUCCCCGUUGCACACCAAGCGAAAGACCAGUUCCAUGAGCAGCUUCAAGAUCUCUUCUGUCAACUCCACUAGGCUAGAGGAGCAAGGGCCACACAGUGAGGGCCAGGGACACAGCACAGGAAGAGGACUGCCGCCACUGGGCCCAGAAUCCACCUUAGAAUACCCGAGGGUCACAUGGCAGGGACCAGCAGGGCUAGGAGACCUCUUAAAGGAAGAGAGCAAGAAAAGGUGUCUGGACGGCUGCCUGUAUCCUUGGAAGCUCCGGGAGUAGUCCCACUAGUGACACGUAACUGCCGUGCUCUCAGCAAGUGCUCACUGGCACUGGACAAGCACCAGGGCACACCUUAGGGCCUGGGCUACCAAGACAACCCCAUUCAAAUCCUGCCCCGGGGGAAGCCCCUGGCCCCUUUGACCAGCUGCCCGCAGGACCCUCCUGACUUCCCUCCGCACAAGGCUUUCUGUAAAUGCCGGUCUCACAGCUGUGCCUUCCGGGGCUGAGGCCGGCCUCCCCUCAGAAGGGAAAUGCCUUGAAGGAGGGGGCCUGUGGUUUCCUUCAUCCUGGCUCUCCAGACCUAGGAGAGGGACUGGCUGGAUGCGCACUUGUUAAGUGAAUGGUGGGCAGGAGCAAGCUGGAUCCAGAGCUGCAGGGAUCUCUGCGGAUACCCGGCCCAGGAGAAGCAGAUGGAAUGAGCCAGGAUGCCCCAAUCUCAGCAGGGAAGCCUGCAGCCCCAGUGGGGUGCCUGAGGCCCCCUGCCACCUCGUGGGCAGAAGCACUCACCAGAGCUCAUCCACCACUCGCACCAGCACGAAGAACGUGUUCUUGCUGACGCGCUUCUUGAAGGUGUCAGCGAAGGGAGAGAACUUCUCGUACGUGAAGCGUAGGUUAGGGAAAGCUAUUCUCAUGUGGGCAGGGAUGGGGUGAUGGGAGGGGAGGGCGACCUUCUCCCCACUGCCAGUUACCGGGUGCUCGUGAUGUGCAGAAGCCCUGGGAGUGAGACACCCUCCCCCGCAGCCAUGCCUGCAGGACCACUUCCCCUGUGCCCCAAGGCCCUGCCUUUCUGUCAGUUCCCACCAAAGCUUCCUGUGGGACUUACUGAAAUGCCACAGGCUGCCUGGCUGAGGCUCAGGUGGAAAAAGGUGGUUAAAAACCACAUGCCCUAAAGCCCCUGGUCUCUGGGGGAGGUGCUUCCGGCACUCUUGCCGUAAGUUCCCUCCCAGAGUCUCUGGGUGGCUUCAGAUGCCCCCACCCCUCAGCAGCCACACACCUGGCCACCUCCAGCUCUUCUCCAAGGUCGUGGUCUCUGCCCAGAGGGCAUAGAUUCUUGCCAUCCUCUUGUGAUCACCAUUGACUCUCCAGACCCUGCUCUGGUUUGUCCUUCCUGCUCUCCAGGGAUCUCUGGGUGCUCAUGAAGGACCCUCACACCAAGGACUGUCCCCAGAGCCUGCUGCAGAGAGUGGAUGCUGGGAACUUGAGCUCAGGAGUGUGUGCUGUGCGCACAGGGUGGCCACUCUCCCACCAAACUGCUGGUCACUUACUCUCUCUGAGCCUGUUUCCUGGAUCAUGAAAUAGGCAGUAAUAUAAAGGCAUAUAUAACAUGGUAAUGAGAUAUCAAGUGGUUUUAUAGCUGAGUGAGCCUUCAUGUGCACGGGCUUUGCAUCAUGCACAUGAGAGUUACUAUCACCUGCAGAGCCAGGCCUGUGAGCAGCUGAACAUGUGAUGUGAGGCUGUAGGGAAUGUGUCUUUGCAGUGGGGACUGUCCACUUCAAUUCUGAGGGACGAGGUUCUCUAGGGCUGGGGCAUGGGGACAGUGAAAGGAGCGACAGAGGGUCAGAGGAUGCAAGAGGCCGAGCCUCAGGGCACACAGAAAAGGGAGACAGCCUGGAGGACUCAGACUUCCUGCCCCAGGUACAACAGCUGUCCAGUAGAUGGCAGUUACGGGCUGUAAUGGAGGAGGUGGCCUGGAACAGGGGGCCAGGGGCUGGCCCACUGUUUAGAGCAGCUGCUCAGGUUAGCCUCCACAGGAGGGGCAAGUUUGAGAGGAAGUCCAUGACAGUGGGUCCUAGGGCCUGGGGUCUUCCUUAACUGCUACUGCACAGAGUCAUCCUUGAAAGGGUGAGCCUGUGGGGCUGUACAGUUUAAGGGUAGGAGCAAAUUGGGUCUGGAUGUGGUCUUUUUGUCCACUGCUGCAUCUGCCACCAGGCGGAGUGGCUAUGGCCUUCCCUGAGGCUGUUGAGUCUUGACUCCCUUAAGCCCCACACACUUGGGACUCAUCACCUCGAUGGCCUGGGGUUCAGCUAGCAAGCUACAGAUGCUGGUGACCUGGGUCUCUGCCGGGGUCUUUGUGUUCCCUCCAUCUUGGGAUGUGUCGAUUCUUUCUACCUCCUUCUCAGGACUCCUAAGUGACCACAACUGCUGUCAGACAGCACACCCAUGAUCCAGCACUUCAUGUCAUCUCACUCAGCCCUUAGACAAGGAACGAGGCUCGAAGAUAAAGCCUGGCCUGAGGAGGAGUGUGGCUGAGUGCAGAGGUGUGACCAUCCAGCCCGCCCACCACUCCGUGUUCAGCAGACAAGACACCAGAACUCUUCUGAGAGCUGCCCACACACCAGGGCAUGUUGCACUGGGUCACAGUCAAGUUGAGGGACAAUGACACCAUUAAAUCUCUCUCUCUCUUCACCAACCCAGGGGGCAGAGAGGUUUAACAAGUGGGAACUGCCUAGCUCUGUGCCCAGAACCCCAGAGGUAGCUGAACCUUGGCCUAGAGAGGGAAGAAAAGCUUGAACUUGCAGAACAUCUCACUAAGAAGAUGAUGCCAAAAUGAAGCUGCUGAUGGCAGAGCGGAUCUGCAGGUCCUGCACGUGGAGAAAUUUACUACAUAUUUCUAAACCUGGUUAGGUUUGACUGGUGCCAAUACUCAAAAACGUUAAAAAGAGUUAAAAAGAUACAGUUAAAUGUGCUGACUCCUGACUGAUCUGGGUUCCCAAAAAAUAAGCUACACACGUUAACUUGAGGGAGAAGUGGGGAAGUGGAGGAUGAUUUGCAUAUCAGAUGAUAUGAGGGAAUUAUUAUAAAUUUCCUUAGGUAUGAUAAUGGUAUUGUAAUCCAGUAGGCUUUUAAAAUAUUUUUGGAGGGCAGUCCCAGUGGCGCAGAGGUUUAGCGCCACCUGCAGCCCAGGGCGUGAUCCUGGAGACUCUGGAUUGAGUCCCAUGUCAGGCUCU
Canis lupus familiaris (dog) is the source of this 3547-nucleotide long non-coding RNA. RefSeq lists it as uncharacterized. The record is from RefSeq and is a predicted model, not a curated record. NCBI's taxonomy places the organism in Eukaryota, Metazoa, Chordata, Mammalia, Carnivora, Canidae. The transcript is spliced from 4 exons.